RNAcentral lists this ribosomal RNA (433 nucleotides) under uncultured bacterium. RNAcentral describes it as "partial 16S ribosomal RNA". It matches the Rfam family "Bacterial small subunit ribosomal RNA", at positions 29 to 507 of the family's 1533-position model. The record is from RNAcentral.
AGCGAACGCUGGCGGCAGGCCUAACACAUGCAAGUCGAACGAACUCUUCGGAGUUAGUGGCGGACGGGUGAGUAACACGUGGGAACGUGCCUUUUGGUUCGGAAUAACUCAGGGAAACUUGUGCUCAUACCGAAUGUGCCCUUCGGGGGAAAGAUUUAUCGCCAUUAGAGCGGCCCGCGUCUGAUUAGCUAGUUGGUGAGGUAACGGCACACCAAGGCGACGAUCAGUAGCUGGUCUGAGAGGAUGACCAGCCACACUGGGACUGAGACACGGCCCAGACUCCUACGGGAGGGAGCAGUGGGGAAUCUUGCGGAAUGGGCGAAAGCCUGACGCAGCCAUGCCGCGUGAAUGAUGAAGGGCUUAGGAUUGUAAAAUUCUUUCACCGGAGACGAUAAUGACGGUACCCGGAGAAGAAGCCCCGGCUAACUUCGUG